CUGKAWUUGAAGAAACCCGAUCCGAGAUCCUACCGGAGGCAGCAUGAGGAAUUUGGCCAAUUGGGAUCCUGAUGCAGCACCGCCGCGUGGAGGAUGAGCAUUUCCGUKKGUAAACUCCUUUUWUGAGUCAAGAAAUGACGGUAGUYCAUGAUAAGCACCGGCUACUCCGUGCAGCAGCGCGKGAUACGAGGGUGCAAGCGUACUCGGAAUCACUGGGCGUAAAGGACGCGUAGGCGGGUUGGUAAGUCAGAUGUGAAAUCCUACAGCUCAACUGUAGAACUGCAUUUGAAACUACCGACCUAGAGUAUGGGAGGGGGAGAUGGAAUUAGUGGUGUAGGGGUAAAAUCCGUAGAUAUCACUAGGAAUACCAAAAGCGAAGGCGAUCUCCUGGAACAUUACUGACGCUAAGGCGUGAAAGCGUGGGGAGCAAACAGGAUUAGAUACCCUGGUAGUCCACGCCCUAAACGAUGAACACUAGUCGUCGGAAAGCUUGUCUUUUCGGUGAUGCACUUAACAGAUUAAGUGUUCCGCCUGGGGAGUACGGUCGCAAGAUUAAAACUCAAAGGAAUAGACGGGGACCCGCACAAGUGGUGGAGCAUGUGGUUUAAUUCGAAGAUACGCGAAAAACCUUACCUGGCCUUGACAUUGAUAGAAUCUGCUAGAGAUAGCGGAGUGCCCUUCGGGGAGCUUGAAAACAGGUGCUGCACGGCUGUCGUCAGCUCGUGUCGUGAGAUGUUGGGUUAAGUCCCGCAACGAGCGCAACCCUCGUCCUUAGUUGCCAGCAGGUUAAGCUGGGCACUCUAGGGAGACUGCCUUCGUAAGGAGGAGGAAGGUGAGGACGACGUCAAGUCAUCAUGGCCCUUAUGGCCAGGGCUACACACGUGCUACAAUGGGGCGUACAGAGAGUUGCAAUACCGCGAGGUGGAGCCAAUCUCACAAAGCGUCUYUCAGUUCGGAUUGUAGUYUGCAACUCGACUUCAUGAAGCUGGAAUCACUAGUAAUCGUAGAUCAGCAUUGCUACGGUGAAUACGUUCCCGGGUCUUGUACUCACCGCCCGUCACACCAUGGGAGUUGAUUUCACCCGAAAUUGGGAAGCUAACCUUCGGGAGGCUACCAYWUACGSUGGAAUUAGCGACUGGGGUGAAGUCGUAACAAGGUAACCGU
RNAcentral lists this ribosomal RNA (1164 nucleotides) under uncultured bacterium. RNAcentral's name for it is "bacterial SSU rRNA". It matches the Rfam family "Bacterial small subunit ribosomal RNA", at positions 312 to 1503 of the family's 1533-position model. The record is from RNAcentral.